RNAcentral lists this ribosomal RNA (500 nucleotides) under uncultured bacterium. RNAcentral's name for it is "bacterial SSU rRNA". It matches the Rfam family "Bacterial small subunit ribosomal RNA", at positions 29 to 536 of the family's 1533-position model. The record is from RNAcentral.
AGUUAACGUUGGCGGCGUGCCUAACACAUGCAAGUCGAACGCGUCCUAAGGGCAACUUUAGGAUGAGUGGCGAACGGGUGAGUAUCACGUGGGUAAUCUUCCUUUAAGUGGGGAAUAAGCUCUCGAAAGGGAGUCUAAUACCGCAUGACAUUCCGGGACACAAGUCCCGUAAUCAAAGCCGCAAGGCGCUUGAAGAUGAGCCUGCGUCCUAUUAGCUAGUUGGUGGGGUAACGGCCUACCAAGGCUCAGAUGGGUAGCCGGCCUGAGAGGGUGAACGGCCACACUGGGACUGAGACACGGCCCAGACUCCUACGGGAGGCAGCAGUGAGGAAUUUUGCGCAAUGGGGGAAACCCUGACGCAGCGACGCCGCGUGGAGGAUGAAGGCCUUCGGGUCGUAAACUCCUGUCAGAGGUGAAGAAUGCCCGCAAGGGUUUGACGGUAACCUCAGAGGAAGCCCCGGCUAACUACGUGCCAGCAGCCGCGGUAAAACGUGUGUGUA